AGAUCCAGCAGGAUGGCCCUGAACUCCUCGUCCUCACACAGAUCUUAGAAGGACACGGAUAAACGUCGAGGUGUAUUGAUAAGAGGGUGCUGAGAUAUAAAUAUACCAAUGGGAGUCUCGUCUAGGAAGGUCUUGGCAUUGAGACUGGCUCCGUGAGACACCAACAGCUCUGCCACAUGCAUCUGAAACAACAACAACAACAGGAGACUGGGUUUGAGUGACUGACGACGCCGAACGCCAGGAUGAGAAGAUGAUGUGUCCUGUAUUAUUACUGGAGUGCCUGCCUGCAGGAGCCUGAAUAUUAGGCCUCAGACGACGGAGGAAGAGGGGAGAGGACAUAAACUGUCAGUGGGGUUGUAAAAUUCAGAGAGGGACGAAUGAGAAGAGAGGGAGGAGGACGCGAUGGAGAGAAGAGAAAACCAGGGUUUUAUGUGGGACCAAAAACAUUCUUUCUGCUCAUCUGACUUGACUCAACACGGGUUGUUAAAACAACAUCUUUUCAAACAGUUUCAAACAAUGAACGAAGUCAGAAUUGAUCUGGGCAGCACCACUGAAAACACAGGUCUGUCUCGAUCAUCUUCUCCUGUCGAAUGAAUUUACUACCUUCAGUAAACCUGGGAGGAAAGGAAGGGAAAUUCUUCUUUUUCUGUUAUAUUUUAAGCAGAUUUAAUGUUUUAGUGGACAAAACCUGUUUGCACAUCUUGAAAAAGUUCUAUUCUGAUUGAUUUUGGAGCAUUUAAUAGAUCAUUGAAAGAAUAAAAACACAUAUCUCACCAUUUUAUGCUUUUCUCAAAUCAUUCUCAGUUUUUCAGUUUGAAGAAAUAUUCUAAGCGAUGUUCAGAGGUCUGUUGUUUCGCUCAAGGACAGCUCAGAGAGGACAGAAAAGUAU
Mugil cephalus (flathead mullet) is the source of this 889-nucleotide long non-coding RNA. RefSeq lists it as uncharacterized. The record is from RefSeq and is a predicted model, not a curated record. The transcript is spliced from 5 exons. Lineage: Eukaryota; Metazoa; Chordata; Actinopteri; Mugiliformes; Mugilidae.